GACGAACGCUGGCGGCGUGCUUAACACAUGCAAGUCGAACGGAAAGGCCCCAGCUUGCUGGAGUACUCGAGUGGCGAACGGGUGAGUAACACGUGGGUAAUCUGCCCUGCACUCUGGGAUAAGCCUGGGAAACUGGGUCUAAUACUGGAUAUGACCUUUCUCCUUAUGGGGUUUGGUGGAAAGUUUUUCGGUGUAGGAUGAGCCCGCGGCCUAUCAGCUUGUUGGUGGGGUGAUGGCCUACCAAGGCGACGACGGGUAGCCGGCCUGAGAGGGUGAUCGGCCACAUUGGGACUGAGAUACGGCCCAGACUCCUACGGGAGGCAGCAGUGGGGAAUAUUGCACAAUGGGCGGAAGCCUGAUGCAGCGACGCCGCGUGAGGGAUGACGGCCUUCGGGUUGUAAACCUCUUUCGGCAGGGACGAAGCGUAAGUGACGGUACCUGCAGAAGAAGCACCGGCUAACUAUGUG
Molecule: ribosomal RNA, 467 nt
Filed under: uncultured bacterium
Lineage: Bacteria
Description: partial 16S ribosomal RNA
Rfam family: Bacterial small subunit ribosomal RNA
Source: RNAcentral